CAGCAGCCGCGGUAAUACGUAGGGUGCAAGCGUUAAUCGGAAUUACUGGUCGUAAAGCGUGCGCAGGCGGUUUUGUAAGUCUGAUGUGAAAUCCCCGGGCUCAACCUGGGAACUGCAUUGGAGACUGCAAGGCUAGAGUGUGUCAGAGGGGGGUAGAAUUCCACGUGUAGCAGUGAAAUGCGUAGAGAUGUGGAGGAAUACCGAUGGCGAAGGCAGCCCCCUGGGAUAACACUGACGCUCAUGCACGAAAGCGUGGGGAGCAAACAGGAUUAGAUACCCUGGUAGUCCACGCCCUAAACGAUGUCUACUAGUUGUCGGGACUUAAUUGUCUUGGUAACGCAGCUAACGCGUGAAGUAGACCGCCUGGGGAGUACGGUCGCAAGAUUAAAACUCAAAGAAAUUGACGG
This 407-nucleotide ribosomal RNA is filed under the name uncultured rumen bacterium. RNAcentral describes it as "bacterial SSU rRNA". It matches the Rfam family "Bacterial small subunit ribosomal RNA", at positions 509 to 916 of the family's 1533-position model. The record is from RNAcentral.